UGAGAAGCCUGAUUCUGGGAUCUGUGGA
RNAcentral lists this non-coding RNA (28 nucleotides) under Macaca fascicularis (crab-eating macaque). Lineage: Eukaryota; Metazoa; Chordata; Mammalia; Primates; Cercopithecidae. RNAcentral also lists the same sequence under 1 other name. The record is from RNAcentral.